RNAcentral lists this ribosomal RNA (423 nucleotides) under uncultured bacterium. RNAcentral's name for it is "partial 16S ribosomal RNA". It matches the Rfam family "Bacterial small subunit ribosomal RNA", at positions 359 to 774 of the family's 1533-position model. The record is from RNAcentral.
AAAUUUGUACUAUGGGGGAAACCCUGAUCCAGCCAUCCCGCGUGUAUGAUGAAGGCCUNCGGGUUNUNAAGUACUUUUGGCAGAGNCGAAAAGGUAUCUCCUAAUACGAGAUACUGCUGACGGUAUCUGCAGAAUAAGCAACGGCUACCUACGUGCCAGCAGCCGCGGUAAUACGUAGGGUGCAAGCGUUAAUCGGAAUUACUGGGCGUAAAGCGUGUGUAGGCGGUUCGGAAAGUAAGAUUUGAAAGCCCAGGGCUCAACCUUGGGACUGCAUUUUUAACUGCCGAGCUAGAGUAUGUCAGAAGGGGGGUAGAAUUCCACGUGUAGCAGUGAAAUGCGUAGAUAUGUGGAGGAAUACCGAUGGCGAAGGCAGCCCCCUGGGAUAAUACUGACGCUCAGACACGAAAACGUGGGGAGCAAACA